GAUCAUGCUCAGGAUGAACGCUAGCUACAGGCUUAACACAUGCAAGUCGAGGGGAAACGACAUCGAAAGCUUGCUUUUGAUGGGCGUCGACCGGCGCACUGGUGAGUAACGCGUAUCCAACCUGCCCACUACUUGGGGAUAACCUUGCGAAAGUAAGACUAAUACCCAAUGAUAUCUCUAGAAGACAUCUGAAAGGGAUUAAAGAUUUAUCGGUGAUGGAUGGGGAUGCGU
RNAcentral lists this ribosomal RNA (231 nucleotides) under uncultured bacterium. RNAcentral's name for it is "partial 16S ribosomal RNA". It matches the Rfam family "Bacterial small subunit ribosomal RNA", at positions 15 to 236 of the family's 1533-position model. The record is from RNAcentral.